GUGGGGAAUCUUCCGCAAUGGGCGAAAGCCUGACGGAGCAACGCCGCGUGAGUGAAGAAGGCCUUCGGGUCGUAAAGCUCUGUCUUCAGGGACGAAAAGGCAGGGGAGUAAUAUGCCCUUGUUGUGACGGUACCUGAGGAGGAAGCUCCGGCUAACUACGUGCCAGCAGCCGCGGUAAUACGUAGGGAGCGAGCGUUGUCCGGAAUUACUGGGCGUAAAGGGCGCGUAGGCGGGAAUUUAAGUAAGGUGUGAAAACUCCGGGCUCAACCUGGAGACUGCACUAUAAACUGGAUUUCUGGAGGGCAGGAGAGGAAAGUGGAAUUCCUAGUGUAGCGGUGAAAUGCGUAGAGAUCGGGAGGAACACCAGUGGCGAAGGCGACUUACUGGACUGUAACUGACGCUGAGGCGCGAAAGUGUGGGGAGCAAACAGGAUUAGAUACCCUAGUAGUCC
RNAcentral lists this ribosomal RNA (451 nucleotides) under uncultured bacterium. Its description in RNAcentral is "partial 16S ribosomal RNA". It matches the Rfam family "Bacterial small subunit ribosomal RNA", at positions 354 to 796 of the family's 1533-position model. The record is from RNAcentral.